RNAcentral lists this long non-coding RNA (7737 nucleotides) under Nicotiana tabacum (common tobacco). RNAcentral describes it as "long non-coding RNA (NTAB_LNC000194)". The record is from RNAcentral. Lineage: Eukaryota; Viridiplantae; Streptophyta; Magnoliopsida; Solanales; Solanaceae.
CAAAAAGCAAAAAAGGGACGGCUACACAAUACUAGCCGUUUCCACAUUUUUUCAUCUAAAAAGAGAACCAACAAUUCUCACAGGCUCAAUUCCAAAAGCUUCAGCCACACCCAUCAUCUUCUGCGAGCUGCCACCCUAACUUCCCCCAAAAAUCGCAAAAAAUCCCAACUGAGAACCAGCCCAAAAAACCACCAUCUGCUCUUUCUGGAACCACCUCUAAACCUUCCUUCAAAUCGCCCAAACAUCACCAAAAACUAGCUAGAAUUUUCAGCUAAAAAAUGCAACAACACAGCCCCGAGAAAGCUGUAAAACCAUCUCAAAAAAUGUGAAAACAACAGCUCAAGCCGCUGCCAUUUUCGCCGAGGAAAUAGCUUCAAUCUCCUCCAUUAAUAUCGUGAAGCUCUGUGCUCGAGUUUGUCGCCAACGAGAUUCACACAAACCGCUGUGUCGAGUUCCGGUUAGUGGCUUUACGUAUUUGUCUUAUGGACUUGUAGAGGAAAUAUUUGAAGUCAAUUUUCAUCUCUUUCUAUAUUAAGGUUAAAUAUUGGUGCCGUGUACUGAUGUGUUCUCUACUAAGUGAUGUGUAUAUGUGAUGCGUAUGCAUAUAGAGUGUACACAAAUUGAAGAAAAAGGCUAAUUAACUAGCUAAUGUUGCUCUAAAAUAAUUUUUACAUCUGAUUAUUUGGUCGAUCGUAACAAAUGAACUGAUAAACCGUAUAUGUACAAUAUGUUCCAUCAAAGGUCCUUUGUAUUCAUUGGUUUAUUUCUUUUAAUAUUAUAAUUUGCUGCCAGUAUGUUUCAUACAAGAUUACAAGCAAAACCAUUUCUAUUCCUAGACAGAAAACUUUUUAGAGCAUGCUAAGUGAUGGGUUGGUUGUUGUGUUUGACAGAAACUCUGUUAUAGAUAAAAUUGCUACCAUUGUUACCUUGAGUUUGGAUUCAGAUCAUAAUGAAUUGUUGACUAUUUUUAGCAUAACUUAGCCAAAUUGGGUUGUCCUUUUUUUUCUGGUAAUUAUCUUUUCAAUACGAGCUGGCGAGAGUAGGAUUAAAUUUACUAGCUUUGUUCCUGCGUAGGUGGAGAAUUACAGAUUCCUUUGACUUCUAUUCUCUAAUGAAUUUCAUGUUCCAUAUUGACAUAUUUGUAAUGUAGGGAAACUUUGGAUAAUGAGGAGAGUUCUUGUAGUAUUAUUUUAAGGAAUAAAUAGAAAGAAAUUUGAUAGUGCUUUAUUGGUUCAAUAGCUAAAUUGGGUAUAAAUUGAAAUGAUUUUGACACUUUCUUACUGUUCCUUUUGAUCAAAACAGAAAGAAAUUUGAUAGUUUUUAUUGGUUCCUUUUGAAUAAUCGCUAGUAUGCUUUAGGCACGACUUAAUCUAUCAUCGUGAUUGUCUACACGUUCGCGUGACAUAUUUACGAUUUUUAAAAUAAAUUGAGGCAUGCGUUCUCGCAACUUCAGCCAAACUUUCUUAAUAUUAACAAAGCGUAAUUGAUUGUGUACACAUACGCGUAACAUGAUUCCUAAUGCGCCGAACGAAAUGAGUAUAUGUACGCGUGACUCGUUUUAAGAUAAUUCUAAAAUUAUGAAUAAUCAAGCAAUUAAAAGCGGUUAAAUGGGUAAAUGCACAUAGGUUUGAAAAAAUAAGUAAUUAAAACAAUUAAUUAAGUGUAACAAUCAGACCGGUCGUUUUAAGAAUUAACGCCAUGAUCCCCUAUGUCGUGCCCCCUUUUUCCUCCGUAGAGUCCGGGUUUCGACAUUCACUGGGUGUAAUGACUCAUUUCCUUUUGGGAAUUGGAUAUUUGAAGAGUCGCCACCUAACGGAUUAUGGUGCGUUAGAGCACCUAGAGUGAUUAACUCUUGAGUUGGUUUGUAUUACUAGAGAUUAUUGUAAGGGCUCAAAGUAACCUCGAGGGGAAGGUGUUAGACACCUCUCUUGGUCUACAACUGUGGGUCCCGACCGAACUUAUAUUCACAAAUUAGUCCACAUAAAUAGUUGAAUCAAAUAAGUUGCUAGUAAGGCACCUUGGAUAGUUCAAGUAGUAAGAUAAAGGUUUGAACAAGUUGUAAAAGACGAAAGUUUUAAAUAAAGAAAGGAUUUGGUAAAGAGGGGUCGUAGGUUGUUUAUCCUAUAGGAUCACCCCAUGCAAUGUCCGGUAAACACUCCUCGAUGAGGGGCUACACGUGACAUUAACGCGUAGUCAUCAUAUCCCAUGUCUACCCUUCCCAUCCCCUUAUUGGUCAUACAAAGCGAGUGUUUGGUCAAUGAUUCCUAUUGCGUACUGCUAGCCAUCCCUUCUUAAUAGUCCUGGAGGGAGUUAGGACCCCUACCUAUAGGCAGUUCUAGACGUACCCCUAAGGUUUAGAAAGGCGAAAACUCUAAGGCGACAGUCAAAACAUUUAGGACUUUACACAUAAUGGGAGCAAAUAAGAGGCUCACAGUUUCCUCCUCAAGUAAACAUACAAGCAACACGACUCAAACACAAUUAAGGUCUUUAUUAAUCAAAGUCCUAAAGCAGGAUCUCUAAGUGACUAUGCAGAACAAACCAAACUUUUAUAUUUGGAAGUUCUAACCUAGUAGUUGCGUAGGGACUCCCUUUUAAAAUCCUGUUAGAAUCAGAAAUGCUAAGCGACAGAGACAACUACAGGAAAAUGCAGUUUUGAAGACGCCUUAAAGCUUGCCUAUAUGCAGUAUAAUGGCGUCUAUGUUAAUGCAGAACCAAAUAGGUUUUUCGGAAUAAACUCAUUUAAUACCUAUAAGCAUGAUAUCUAAUGAGAUUAAAGCAAUUUUGAAAGAACUUGUUUCAGGAAUUGUUUGACACUUAAUAAGACUAGUUUUGAAAAUGAACUAGGAGUAAUGAAGUUUUUUAUUAGGUUAAUUAGAUUAUUAGACAGAAUUGUGAGUAGAGAUCCCUAUAGGUUUGAUAUCUAAACGUAUUACUAAUUUUAGUCGAUUUGCAGCAACAUACAGAAAGACUUAUUAGAACUAAAUCGGAGUUGAGUCUUAUAGGUAUGGCAUCAACUGAUUUAAGACAUAAUGGUUUGGAACCUAUAAACAUGGUUUCUAACAUGAUAAAAUGCAGAACCUUAUGAACAUGAUUUUUACUUGAUGCAAACGAAAUUAGAAGUGAAAUCCUGUAGGCAUGAUUUCUAUUAGGCAAAGCAAUCAGAUUCAAAAGAGCAAACCUAUGAUCAUGCUUUCUACUUAUGCAAGCGGUUAGACUUCACAAAUAAGGUCCUAAGUGCAGGAUUUCUACCCGUAUUACCCUUUAAAGUAUGCAUCUACCCACCCUUUACUAAAUACCCCAAAUAUCUGCUUACAAAUUAUUACAUGCCAAUGAAUGAAUUACGUAAGUAGAAAUAGAAAAUCAAGAAGAUAUUCUAUAGGGAGCCUAUAAUUAGGCCCAAGUUCCUCAAAGCCUCCAAUGGUCUCACAAGCCUCAAUUCCACAGAAAAAUCAGAGUCUAGGUGCAUCAAAGUUCCCUAAGGAUCUCAAGGACCCCGGGCGAUGCUUACACCUAGACCUAGCAAACAAGCAUUGAACCAGUGCAGUGUGGAAAGGCCAACCUCAGUAUACCAGAGUUCAGAGGGCUCUCAAGAGGAUCCCAAGGCAAUACACAUACUAGAGGGGGCAGAACUUAUUGACUAAGAGUGAAGUGAAAGUGCAGGACACAAGUUGAAAGAGGUUUAUUAAAGACUGGAUUAGAAAGUCUGCUUUGAAAGCAAUUAGUUAAAGCAAUAGAUAUCGUUUGAAAAAGAGGUAGGAGUAGUAAACAAAGCUUAAACACCUUAAGAUAGGAUCACACACAGCUAGUUUACAGAAUCCAAAUGAAUUCAGUAGUUACAUAUGAGUCAAGGGGUUUGGGAUACACAAACAUUGGACUGCAAACACAUAACCCAGCAAGGGUCUUAGGACUGGUUUGGACAUGCUUAGAAAUAGUUGACACUAACAUAAUCACAAAUCAGUCAGGAAGAACACAAACACAUAGAGGGGUAUAGGGAUUUGGGGAUUCAUAAGAUGGUAAGUACGUAGUAAGUAAAAGACAAUUGACAAGGCAUGCUUUGAAACACACAUAAGGGAAUACAUUAAUCUAAAGGGAAGGGGAGACAUAACAACAUACUGAUAAUGUAACUUAACUACAAGUUUCACAAUAGAACCACAAGUAGAAACAACCUAGAAAUAAGAGAAACUAAAGCAGUAAGAGAAGCAUGUUAUUGUUGAGGCUUUAAAUUAAAACUAGGACAUACUAGUGAAGAGAGAAGUAAGCAGAAUGAAAGAACAAGAGAGCACAAAUGAUUAGCCUUGGCUUGCAGCCAGCUAAUAACAACAAAUAGCACAAGAGAGAGGGGAGAGCAGAGAUUUUUAGUAAGAGAGGUAGUUUUGAAAACCAAAAAUGUUCAUGUCUAUUAAUGAAAGACUUAGGGUAUUUAUAGAUUUGAAAUAGGUAGAAAAUAAGGUAACAAGUAAAGGUUUAGCACAAUUAUGGAAGUAAUCAUAAUUAGAAUCCAAUUAAUACAAGUACUCCCCUUUAAUCAAGGAAUCACAGCUUAAAUGGAUACCAACAGGGGUAAUUAAGGAAAGAAAAUUAGUUGAGAAAGAUUGAUUUUUACCAUAUAAGGGGUAGUAAAAGUAUUGAGCAUAUGAUUGAGUCUAAGUACAGAAUAUACCAAUUAAGAAAAGGAUUCAGUAAGAAUGAAGUACCACAACAAAUAAGGAAAUAGAAUCAGUCAAUUUAAAUAAAUGAGUAGAAAUUUAGGGUUUUGAAAGAAAAUCUUGCAAUCAAACCAUCAAUUAAGAAAAUUAGAAUCAAAUCAAGAGAGGAUCAUGAUUCUAUAUUGCAACACAUAAAUAGAGAAGAAUGAACAAACGUAGAAAACAAGCAAAGUCAGCCAUAUCGACAGAAAGAAGCAAGAGAUGAACCAACAAAAUGAACACAGUCAUGUAGAAGUGACAUAAGUAGGCUAAAGACUCAGUAGAAAACCCAUUCGAAGCAUGGUAACCAACAGAAACUUAACAGAAUCAGGUAAUCAUGCUAACACACAGAACUGAAGCAAAGAAGAUCUUGAAAAUUAGGGCUUUUUAGCAGAGUCGAGUUAAAAAGCAGUAGGAACAUAAGAUCAGUCACAAUACACAAGGAAAUAGGCUUAAUCAUAAAGAAAAUCGGUUAAAACAAGUGUAGAAAGAACUCCGAGAAGCCCUAAUUUUUUAAAGAAAGUAGAAACGAUUUAAAGUUGAGGAUGUUUCAGAAGAAGUUCGAGAAUAGUGCAAAUCAUAGGAAGAAACAGACCUAAAGCAUAAAAAUAGCACAAAUUUGAGAGAUUCAGACGAGAGUUAGGGUUUCAAAGGAAACCCAAAUAGAAAUCGAAAGAACCUGUUGUAAACUUCACCGAUCGUAAUAUAUAAGGUGUGAUUUUGCCCAAAAUCACACCGGAGAAGCCAUGAGUAACAGAAACAAAAACCCUAGAUCCAAAUCGUCAUGGCCCAGGACCCUUGAAGGCCUUAGAGAUGAUGAGCAAGGUGGUGGAGUGACCAUUGGAGGCUUGGGGUUGAAAGGUAGUCGCCGGAGAUGACCGGAGAAGGAGGCGGUGGUUGAAGAAUAAUUAGGGUUAGGUUGAGAGAGAAGAGAGACGAGAGCAUCUGAAGACGACGGGGGUUUGGAAAUGAGUGGGGUUAGGUGGUCGUUUAGGAAUUAAAAAGGAAAGGGUAUGUGUGGACCGUUGAUCUGGGAGAUCAACGGUCAGGAUUCAAUCGGGUAGGUGGGUUUUGGGUUUGGGUAAGGGUUUAUAGGGUCUGGGUCGGGUUAUUUAAUAGGAAAUUGGGCUGGGGAGGGGUCCGAUUUGGGCUACAAUUGAAAGCCAAAUCUGACUAUUAUUUAAAUAGCCAGUUUUCCUAUUUUAAUUUUAAUAAAUAAUAAUUAAUUUGAAAAAUAAUUUAAGAUGAUAAAAUGAUUUAAAUUACAUAAUUAACAUUUUAGAAAUAUAGGGACAAAUUUUAUGCAUAUAAAAUAUAAUUAUAUCUUAAAAUGGGCUAACGUUGCAGUUAUAUGCAAUUUAGCUUAAAAAAUACUAAAUGUAAUUAUAAAAAUGCAUAAAAAUUAUAUUAGCCAUAUUUUGGCAUAAGUAUAGAAAUAAAAUAAAUAAAUUAUCAAAACAAUAAUUUUAAAAAUAAUUAUUGGGGAUUUUAUGAAUAAAAGAGGAGAAAAUAAAUCCACUUAAACCCUUAAAAUUAUGGGAAAAAUUAUAAAAGCCUUGUGCAUGCUUAUAUAUGCAUAUAUAUGCUAUUUUGAAGGUAUUUAUGCAUGUUUAAAAUAUAUAGGGAAACGUUGGGUAUCAACACCCUAUUAACUACUUACCCCGUGGUUGUUUCUAUUAUUGUGAGUAGCCGGGAGGGUUUAUUUGGAGUUUCAGAGAGUUUUGGGACACUUAGUCCCUAAAUGAGAGCUUAAGUUUUGAAAAUUUGACCGUAGUCGGAACAGUGUAAAGACGGCCUCGGAAUGGAAUUCUGUUGGUUCUGUUAGCUCCGUUGGGUGAUUUCGGGCUUAGGGGCGUGUUUGGAUUGUGUUUUGGAGACCCGUAGCUUAUUUAGGCUUGAAAUGCCGAAAGUUGAAUUUUCGAAAUUUCCGGUUCGAUAGUGAGAUUUUGAUAUCGGGGUUGGAACAGAAUUCUGAAAGAUGGAGUAGCUCCGUAGUGUUGAAUGUGACGUGCUUGCAAAAUUUCAGGUCAUUUGGGCGAGGUAUGAUAGACAUUUUGAUCGAAAGCGUAAUUUGAGAGUUUUUGGAGUUUUUAGGCUUGGAUCCGAUGUUAAAUUGGUGUUUUGUUGUUAUUUUGAGCGUUCCGAGGAUUGGAACAAGUUUGAAUAAUAUUUUAGGAUUGGUUGAAAUGUUUGGUUGAGGUCUCGGGGGCCUCGAUUGUGUUUCGGAUGCUCAACGGGUCAUUUUUGGAACUUAGAGAAUUGCAGAAAAAAAUUGCAGCAGUCAGUUGGUUUCCUUCUUCGCAUUCGCGAGUGGGUCUCGCGUUCGCGAAGAGGAGCUGAGGCUGGUGGAGGUUUAAUUCUUCGCGUUCGCGAAGGUAUUCCUGCGUUUGUGAGGCUGUGGGUCUUAUACCUACGUGUUCGCGAAGAUGGUCUCACGUUCGCGUAAGAGGAGGGAAAAUGGCCAUCGCGUUCACGACUUGGACAUCGUGUUCGCGAAAGAGGAAGGCUGGCCAGUGGAAUUUUGUGCAUCGCGUUUGCGACAGUGGUCUCGCGUUUGCGAAGAAGAACGCGUCUGGGCAGAACUUAAAUUUCUAAAUCGAGGGUUUUGAGUUCAUAUCACAAAAUAGAAUUGGGAGCUCGGUAGGAGACGAAUUUUGGAGAGUUUUUCGUAUGUAGUUUGUGGGUAAUGAUUUUUAACUCCUUUUUACUGAUAACCCAUUAAUCUAAAUAUGAAUUUAUCAUCUAAUUUCGGAUUUGGGGUGAGAAGUUGGGGAAAAAUUUAGAAAAUUUCAUUAAUCUUAUUAUCGAGUUUUGAUUGGGGAUUUGAUAUUGGAUUUGGAUAAUUUUUGUAUGGUUGGACUUGUGAGUUAAUGAGGGUUCAUAAUCCGUAACUUUUACCCAAUUCCGAGAUGUGGGACCGGGGGGCAUUUUGGUUAUUUUAUCUAAUUUCGCGUAUUAGCUUAGAAUAUAUUUGUGAUAUCAAUUACUUGAAGUUAUAUUUACAUUAUGCAAUUGAAUUGAAUAGAUUUGGGUCAUUUGGAGUCGAGUACUC